Molecule: ribosomal RNA, 1241 nt
Filed under: metagenome
Description: bacterial LSU rRNA
Rfam family: Bacterial large subunit ribosomal RNA
Source: RNAcentral
UGAGUACGAGAUGCUACGGCGUCGAAGCAGUCUAGGUCAUACUUCCAAGAAAAGCUUGCACUGUCAUAAACAAAGAAUGCCUGUACCAUAACCGACACAGGUGGGUAGGUAGAGUAUACUAAGGGGCGCGAGAUAACUCUCUCUAAGGAACUCGGCAAAAUGACUCCGUAACUUCGGGAGAAGGAGUGCCUUAUUUUUAAGGUUGCAAUAACAAGAUCCAACUGUUUACCAAAAACACAGGUCUCCGCUAAGUCGUAAGACGAUGUAUGGGGGCUGACGCCUGCCCAGUGCCAGAAGGUUAAAGAAGUUGGUUAGCAUUUGCGAAGCUGAUAACUGAAGCCCUGGUGAACGGCGGCCGUAACUAUAACGGUCCUAAGGUAGCGAAAUUCCUUGUCGGGUAAGUUCCGACCCGCACGAAAGGCGUAAUGAUUUGGAUACUGUCUCGGAGAGGGGCUCGGUGAAAUAGACUUGUCUGUGAAGAUGCGGACUACCUGCACCUGGACAGAAAGACCCUAUGAAGCUUUACUGUAACUUGAGAUUGAAAUUGGACUUUAUUUGCGCAGUAUAGGUGGGAGGCGUUGAGAAUAAUCUUGCGGGAUUAUCGGAGCCAUCAGUGAGAUACCACUCUUGUAAUGUUAGAUUUCUAACUUUGUAUCAUUAUCUGGUCAAAGAACAGUUUCAGGCGGGCAGUUUGACUGGGGCGGUCGCCUCCCAAAGGGUAACGGAGGCGCACAAAGGUUUCCUCUGAACGGGUAGAAAUCGUAUCUAGAGUGUAAAGGCAUAAGGAAGCUUGACUGUGAGACCUACAAGUCGAGCAGGGACGAAAGUCGGUCUUAGUGAUCUGACGGUGCUGAGUGGAAAGGCCGUCACUCAACGGAUAAAAGUUACUCUAAGGAUAACAGGCUGAUCUCCCCCAAGAGUUCACAUCGACGGGGAGGUUUGGCACCUCGAUGUCGGCUCAUCGCAUCCUGGGGCGGUAGUACGUCCCAAGGGUUGGGCUGUUCGCCCAUGAAAGCGGUACGCGAGCUGGGUUCAGAACGUCGUGAGACAGUUCGGUCCAUAUCCGGUGUAGGCGUUAGAAUAUUGAAAGGAGCCUUCUCUAGUACGAGAGGACCGAGAAGGACAUACCUCUGGUGUGCCAGUUAUCGUGCCAACGGUAAACGCUGGGUAGCUAUGUAUGGAGUGGAUAACCGCUGAAAGCAUCUAAGUGGGAAGCCCACCUUAAGAUAAGUAUUCUCAUG